Molecule: ribosomal RNA, 632 nt
Filed under: uncultured bacterium
Lineage: Bacteria
Description: bacterial SSU rRNA
Rfam family: Bacterial small subunit ribosomal RNA
Source: RNAcentral
AGUUUGAUCAUGGCUCAGGACGAACGCUGGCGGCGUGCCUAAUACAUGCAAGUCGAACGAACUCUGGUACUGAUUGGUGCUUGCAUCAUGAUUUGUAUUUGAGUGAGUGGCGAACUGGUGAGUAACACGUGGGAAACCUGCCCAGAAGCGGGGGAUAACACCUGGAAACAGAUGCUAAUACCGCAUAACAACUUGGACCGCAUGGCCUGAGCUUGAAAGAUGGCUUCGGCUAUCACUUUUGGAUGGUCCCGCGGCGUAUUAGCUAGAUGGUGGGGUAACGGCUCACCAUGGCAAUGAUACGUAGCCGACCUGAGAGGGUAAUCGGCCACAUUGGGACUGAGACACGGCCCAAACUCCUACGGGAGGCAGCAGUAGGGAAUCUUCCACAAUGGACGAAAGUCUGAUGGAGCAACGCCGCGUGAGUGAAGAAGGGUUUCGGCUCGUAAAACUCUGUUGUUAAAGAAGAACAUAUCUGAGAGUAACUGUUCAGGUAUUGACGGUAUUUAACCAGAAAGCCACGGCUAACUACGUGCCAGCAGCCGCGGUAAUACGUAGGUGGCAAGCGUUGUCCGGAUUUAUUGGGCGUAAAGCGAGCGCAGGCGGUUUUUUAAGUCUGAUGUGAAAGCCUUCGG